UUGCCUCAGUAACGGCGAGUGAAGCGGCAAUAGCUCAAAUUUGAAAUCUGGCUCUUUCAGAGUCCGAGUUGUAAUUUGUAGAGGAUGCUUCGGCUUACGUCUCGGUCUAAGUUCCUUGGAACAGGACGUCACAGAGGGUGAGAAUCCCGUUUGUGGCCGUGACUUCCGCCAUGUGAAGCUCCUUCGACGAGUCGAGUUGUUUGGGAAUGCAGCUCUAAAUGGGAGGUAUAUUUCUUCUAAAGCUAAAUACCGGCCAGAGACCGAUAGCGCACAAGUAGAGUGAUCGAAAGAUGAAAAGCACUUUGGAAAGAGAGUUAAAAAGUACGUGAAAUUGUUGAAAGGGAAGCGCUUGCGACCAGACUUGCCCGCGGAUGCUCAACCGGUCCUUCGGCCGGUGCACUCUUCCGCGGUCAGGCCAGCAUCAGUUCGAGCGGUCGGAUAAAGGCCUUGGGAAUGUGGCUCUCUUUGGGGAGUGUUAUAGCCCUUGGUGCAAUACGGCCCGCCUGGACUGAGGCCCGCGCUUCGGCUAGGAUGCUGGCGUAAUGGUCGUAAGCGGCCCGUCUUGAAACACGGACCAAGGAGUCUAACAUCUAUGCGAGUGUUUGGGUGUCAAACCCGUGCGCGAAAUGAAAGUGAACGGAGGUGGGAACCUUAGGGUGCACCAUCGACCGAUCCUGAUGUCUUCGGAUGGAUUUGAGUAAGAGCAUAGCUGUUGGGACCCGAAAGAUGGUGAACUAUGCCUGAAUAGGGUGAAGCCAGAGGAAACUCUGGUGGAGGCUCGCAGCGGUUCUGACGUGCAAAUCGAUCGUCAAAUUUGGGUAUAGGGGCGAAAGACUAAUC
This 840-nucleotide ribosomal RNA is filed under the name Helicomyces hyalosporus. RNAcentral describes it as "LSU rRNA". It matches the Rfam family "Eukaryotic large subunit ribosomal RNA", at positions 75 to 936 of the family's 3401-position model. The record is from RNAcentral. Lineage: Eukaryota; Fungi; Ascomycota; Dothideomycetes; Tubeufiales; Tubeufiaceae.